This is a long non-coding RNA of Mirounga angustirostris (Northern elephant seal), 504 nucleotides long. RefSeq lists it as uncharacterized. NCBI's taxonomy places the organism in Eukaryota, Metazoa, Chordata, Mammalia, Carnivora, Phocidae. The transcript has 4 exons. The record is from RefSeq and is a predicted model, not a curated record.
CGACGGCGAUACGGGGACAUAUUUGUUGAGGGCAAAGCGCGCCAACCGGAGGCAACAACCCUUCUGUGGUUUGAGUUUGGUUCACGCUUGAACUUAACUAGAGUUCGUGAUCUGUAAGACCCACGUGUUUACAAGGGGCUGUAACUGGCCACAAGCAAAAGAUGCCUCCAGAUCUCUGCACAGGAAUUGUGAUUAGAGGAGCAGGACAGGACCUGGUGGUGAGCUGCCAUGCAGAUAAAAGUAGACCCUCUACCUGGAUUUCCUCUGAGGCCUGGUGGGCCUCGAUUUCCUUUCUGGCCAGGGAUGAUCGUGCCAGGAACACCUGGUGGCCCUGGGAGUCCUGUCACGCCAGUGGAUCCCUGUGGCCCCGCAUCUCCCACUGCCCCUUUCCUGCCCGGGAGGCCAGGUUUCUCUACGACACGGAAAAAGUUUGAAGAAGCUGCUUAUCUUGUCAAACACUGGCAUGAGAAAUCCAGACCCACAGUCUGGCAGCCUAAAAACCUG